Molecule: transfer RNA, 69 nt
Filed under: Pristimantis w-nigrum (Zurucuchu robber frog)
Lineage: Eukaryota; Metazoa; Chordata; Amphibia; Anura; Strabomantidae
Description: tRNA-Val
Source: RNAcentral
AGGAAUUUAACUUAAUUAAAGUUUUUCGCUUACACCGAAACUAUGUCUGUUGAACUCAGGCAAUUCCUA